Non-coding RNA from Caenorhabditis elegans, 68 nucleotides. The record is from Ensembl. NCBI's taxonomy places the organism in Eukaryota, Metazoa, Nematoda, Chromadorea, Rhabditida, Rhabditidae.
AAAGAAGACGAAUUGGUACUUUGUGAAAUGGAGAGAGAGGCGCGAAAGCGGAUUAGUGUACUCUACAC